UUUCUUUUCAUUCACACCAACAACUAUUUAAACCUCAAAACCAUGUUGUAAAACAAUCUCCUACCCCAAACAAAAUGGACACAAACACAACAACUACCCAUAGCCUAGAAAUUGACACGACAAAUGACUUUGAGUUUGAAUCAAAGUAUUUUAAGCUCGAAAAACAAAUAUUGAAAUUAAUAGCCGAAGACGAGAAUGAAACUCUUUUCGCCCCAAUGAACGCCAAACAUUUAUCCCCUGUGCGAAUCAAUAAACGAAGAUAUAUCUUGGAGCAAAAAAUUGAAGGCCAUUUGUGUUGGAAACAUAAUUUUCAAAAUACUACGGAAUCAGUACGAGUUUUGCUCAAGAACUCGUGGAGGAACAUGAGACAUGGAACCGGUGUUUUCAUUCCUUGUGCCGGAAAAGAAAAUAUUCCAAGUGGACGUUGCAAAGGCAAAGCACGAAAGUAAAAUCAACUCGUUGAUUACUUAAGAAGAGGCACAAUACAGUUUUAUCAAUUCAAUUUGUAGGGGUCUCGUUGCAGUUUGUGCCGUUUUGUUUUUGAAUAAAAUUUCAGUUGGUCGUUCAAAAAAAAUUUGGUUGAAUGAUUUGUAGGGACAUUGUACUUUAUUAAUGCCAAAUAAUCAAUCUAAAACAUACCGAGAAUCCGAGAUGAUAA
Molecule: long non-coding RNA, 658 nt
Organism: Helianthus annuus (common sunflower)
Lineage: Eukaryota; Viridiplantae; Streptophyta; Magnoliopsida; Asterales; Asteraceae
Exons: 2
Source: RefSeq, a predicted model, not a curated record